ACGGGAGGCAGCAGUGGGGAAUAUUGGACAAUGGGCGCAAGCCUGAUCCAGCCAUGCCGCGUGAGUGAUGAAGGCCCUAGGGUUGUAAAGCUCUUUCGCACGCGACGAUAAUGACGGUAGCGUGAGAAGAAGCCCCGGCUAACUUCGUGCCAGCAGCCGCGGUAAUACGAAGGGGGCUAGCGUUGUUCGGAAUCACUGGGCGUAAAGGGCGCGUAGGCGGCCGUUCAAGUCGGGGGUGAAAGCCUGUGGCUCAACCACAGAAUGGCCUUCGAUACUGGACGGCUCGAGACCGGAAGAGGUCAGUGGAACUGCGAGUGUAGAGGUGAAAUUCGUAGAUAUUCGCAAGAACACCAGUGGCGAAGGCGGCUGACUGGUCCGGUUCUGACGCUGAGGCGCGAAAGCGUGGGGAGCAAACAGGAUUAGAUACCCUGGUA
Molecule: ribosomal RNA, 434 nt
Filed under: uncultured Hyphomicrobiales bacterium
Lineage: Bacteria; Pseudomonadati; Pseudomonadota; Alphaproteobacteria; Hyphomicrobiales
Description: bacterial SSU rRNA
Rfam family: Bacterial small subunit ribosomal RNA
Source: RNAcentral